UAUUGAUAUUGAAUGGUACUGGGUUAAAUCCCACAAGUACCAGGAUACUACUUUCUCUGCCAAUUUGAGAGGCUAAUUGUAGCCUCGAAAUUAUACAUGGCAAAGGUUCAAAAUGAUUGUAUGGAAAUUAAAUUUUGUCUCCCUUCUACAAACAGAUUUACAAAAAUAGUGAUGUUUCGGGGCGAGACCCUUCUUCAGAAGUGUCUCGACUCGAAACGUCACCUAUUCCUUUUCUCCAGAGAUGCUGACUCACCCGCUGAGUUACUCCAGCUUUUUGUAUCUAUCUUCGGUUUAAACCAGCAACUGCAGUUCCUUCCUACAUACAAGGAAUUUGCCUUGGGGCUCCGCCCACAAGUAACAACAUGACAUACAGUGACAGUUACGAACGACUCAGAAAACACUAAACAUUAAUAAUAAUAAAACAUUAAUGAUAAAACACCAUUGAUCAAGCAUGUGAACCAACAAAAUAACAGAUCAAAGGGAGGCUACAGAUUUAUGGCAGUUGAGUAGAGCAACUACUCGUGGAUAAAAACUGUUUUUAUGUCUGGCUGUGGCAGCUUUGACAGUCUGGAGUCGCCUUCCAGAGAGAAGUGAUUCAAACAGUUUGUGGCCAGGGUGAGAGGGGUCAGAGAUGAUCUUGCCCGCUUGCUUCCUGGCCCUUGCAGUGUACAGUUCAUCAAUGGGGGGAAGGUUGCAGCCAAUAACCUUCUCUGCUGAUCGGACAAUUCGCUGCAGCCUCCAGGUGUCGUGCUUGGUGGCUGAGCCAAACCAGACCAUGAUGGAGAAGGUGAGAACAGACUCUACAAUGGCCGUGUAGAAUUGGACCAUCAUUGCCUGUGGCAGAUUGUGCUUCCUCAGCUGCCAUAGGAAGUACAUCCUCUGUUGUGCCUUUUUUGACUGUGGAGUCGAUGGUAGCCCCCCACUUAUGGUUCUUGGAGAUUAUGGUUUCCAGGAACUUAAAAGACUCCACAGAUGUGACUGUGGUGUUGUUGAUGGUGAGUGGGAUGAGGGGAGGGGGAGCUCUCCUAAAGUCUACAUCGAUUCUAGUCUUAAGAGCAUUGAGCUCCAGGUUGUUGCGAUGGCACCAGGAUGCCAGCUAUGACACUUCCUGUCUAACACAGGUGCAGACGAGAAAGAUGCUGCCAAACCCAUUUAAAGAAAGAUAAACACAAAAAGCUGCAGUAACUCAGCAGGACAAGCAGUAUCACUGGAGCGAAGGAAUGAGUUACGUUUCGGGUCAAGACCCUCUUCAGGCCAUUUAAAGAAACCUCUACUACUCUCUCACAUUGUUUCAAAUGAAAACAUUUAUUUUUACUUACGUAAAUACGUGCACAUCAUCCUUGUGCAUUCCAAUAUGACUUACUCUCAUUUUUUCUUAACACCGGUGGAUAUAGGCCACAACAUUCUUCAUGGGACAACUCGCUCAAUCCAGAAGAUGUUCACCAGGUCUAAAGUGCAUGGAGUAAUGAGUGAAAGAAUCAGAAGGGAGAUGAGGAAAUUGUUUCAUUUUCCCCCACCCAGAGUGUGCAGAGAUCAAGAACACAGUACCUGAAAAAGCAGAAAUACACUUAAUGAUUGGAUAUGAGACUGACUGACUUUCAGGACUAGGGACUAAAGGGCCUGUUCCACUUGGCAAUAAAGCUCAAAUAGGUUUAAUAAUAUCACCUCUGAAUGGAGCAUUUAAUAAUAUCUUCCAAGUUAAUCUUACUAUUUGGAGUUUGAAGCUGAUGAAGAGAUGCCUCACAAAUAAAAUGAUAUACC
This is a long non-coding RNA of Leucoraja erinaceus (little skate), 1761 nucleotides long. RefSeq lists it as uncharacterized. The record is from RefSeq and is a predicted model, not a curated record. The transcript has 2 exons. NCBI's taxonomy places the organism in Eukaryota, Metazoa, Chordata, Chondrichthyes, Rajiformes, Rajidae.